RNAcentral lists this ribosomal RNA (508 nucleotides) under uncultured bacterium. RNAcentral's name for it is "partial 16S ribosomal RNA". It matches the Rfam family "Bacterial small subunit ribosomal RNA", at positions 30 to 523 of the family's 1533-position model. The record is from RNAcentral.
AUUGAACGCUGGCGGCAUGCCUUACACAUGCAAGUCGAACGGCAGCGGGGGAGAAGCUUGCUUUUCCUGCCGGCGAGUGGCGAACGGGUGAGUAAUACAUCGGAACGUGCCCUGUAGUGGGGGAUAACUAGUCGAAAGAUUAGCUAAUACCGCAUACGACCUGAGGGUGAAAGUGGGGGACCGCAAGGCCUCAUGCUAUAGGAGCGGCCGAUGUCUGAUUAGCUAGUUGGUGGGGUAAAGGCCUACCAAGGCGACGAUCAGUAGCUGGUCUGAGAGGACGAUCGGCCACACUGGGACUGAGACACGGCCCAGACUCCUACGGGAGGCAGCAGUGGGGAAUUUUGGACAAUGGGCGAAAGCCUGAUCCAGUAAUGCCGCGUGUGUGAAGAAGGCCUUCGGGUUGUAAAGCACUUUUGUCCGGAAAGAAAUGGCUCUGGUUAAUACCUGGGGUCGAUGACGGUACCGGAAGAAUAAGGACCGGCUAACUACGUGCCAGCCGCCGCAGUAA